GUGAAGCACCAACUUGAGUUGUCAUAGAUCUUUAGCUCUUUGAUGGUUAAAUCAAAAUAGGACUAGAGCACCGAGCUCUGAUACCACUUGUUGCCCAGCUAUACAACUCAAGAGGGAGGGUGAAUUAGAUUUUUAAAAUUUUAAAAUUAAUUUAAAACCACAAGGAUUAAGUAAUAAUAAGCAAGUUAUGUGUAGUAAGUGAUUUAAGCUAGGUGUAGAAAUGAGAUACAAGAAUGCAAAAAAAUAAGGAGAUUUAGAUAGAGAGCAAGUAAGCACACCACAAAC
RNAcentral lists this long non-coding RNA (285 nucleotides) under Elaeis guineensis (African oil palm). Its description in RNAcentral is "long non-coding RNA (EGUI_LNC078506)". The record is from RNAcentral. Lineage: Eukaryota; Viridiplantae; Streptophyta; Magnoliopsida; Arecales; Arecaceae.